RNAcentral lists this ribosomal RNA (253 nucleotides) under uncultured bacterium. RNAcentral describes it as "partial 16S ribosomal RNA". It matches the Rfam family "Bacterial small subunit ribosomal RNA", at positions 524 to 776 of the family's 1533-position model. The record is from RNAcentral.
CACGUAGGGCGCAAGCGUUGUCCGGAAUUAUUGGGCGUAAAGAGCUCGUAGGCGGUUUGUCGCGUCUGCUGUGAAAUUUCGGGGCUCAACCCCGAACUUGCAGUGGGUACGGGCAGACUAGAGUGUGGUAGGGGAGACUGGAAUUCCUGGUGUAGCGGUGAAAUGCGCAGAUAUCAGGAGGAACACCGAUGGCGAAGGCAGGUCUCUGGGCCAUAACUGACGCUGAGGAGCGAAAGCGUGGGUAGCAAACAGG